Molecule: ribosomal RNA, 508 nt
Filed under: uncultured bacterium
Lineage: Bacteria
Description: partial 16S ribosomal RNA
Rfam family: Bacterial small subunit ribosomal RNA
Source: RNAcentral
GAUGAACGCUAGCUACAGGCUUAACACAUGCAAGUCGAGGGGAAACGACAUUGGAAGCUUGCUUCCGAUAGGCGUCGACCGGCGCACGGGUGAGUAACGCGUAUCCAACCUGCCCAUCACUUGGGGAUAACCUUGCGAAAGUAAGACUAAUACCCAAUGAUAUCUCUAGAAGACAUCUGAAGGAGAUUAAAGAUUUAUCGGUGAUGGAUGGGGAUGCGUCUGAUUAGCUUGUUGGCGGGGUAACGGCCCACCAAGGCGACGAUCAGUAGGGGUUCUGAGAGGAAGGUCCCCCACAUUGGAACUGAGACACGGUCCAAACUCCUACGGGAGGCAGCAGUGAGGAAUAUUGGUCAAUGGGCGAGAGCCUGAACCAGCCAAGUAGCGUGCAGGAUGACGGCCCUAUGGGUUGUAAACUGCUUUUAUAAGGGAAUAAAGUGAGUCUCGUGAGACUUUUUGCAUGUACCUUAUGAAUAAGGACCGGCUAAUUCCGUGCCAGCAGCCGCCGUAA